CCGACGGGAUGACCAGUCUGACCACCCUCAGGGCCAUGAUUACCUGUCCUCCAAAGACCCUCCGACCUGACCCGAAAAAUAACCGCUAGCCGGCAACUGAAUAUGACGAACACAAACUGGCCCUCUCUGUGACAGACCCCCAGGUUUUCAUCACUUCAGCAGGAACAGCUAGGGCAGCAGUCCUGCUUCUUGUCAAACCUCUGCCUGUUUGAAAAGGACUCUGGAGCUCACAGAGAGCUGAUGGCCAACAGAGGAUCUGACAGUCCGUGCUUUUUUUCCACCCGUUGCUUCAGCCCAUUUCCCC
This is a long non-coding RNA of Epinephelus lanceolatus (giant grouper), 304 nucleotides long. RefSeq lists it as uncharacterized. Lineage: Eukaryota; Metazoa; Chordata; Actinopteri; Perciformes; Serranidae. The record is from RefSeq and is a predicted model, not a curated record.